Molecule: ribosomal RNA, 465 nt
Filed under: uncultured bacterium
Lineage: Bacteria
Description: partial 16S ribosomal RNA
Rfam family: Bacterial small subunit ribosomal RNA
Source: RNAcentral
GACGAACGCUGGCGGCGUGCUUAACACAUGCAAGUCGUACGGUAAGGCCCUUUCGGGGGUACACGAGUGGCGAACGGGUGAGUAACACGUGAGUAACCUGCCCACAACUUUGGGAUAACGCUAGGAAACUGGUGCUAAUACUGGAUAUGUGCUCCUGCUGCAUGGUGGGGGUUGGAAAGCUCCGGCGGUUGUGGAUGGACUCGCGGCCUAUCAGCUUGUUGGUGGGGUAGUGGCCUACCAAGGCGGCGACGGGUAGCCGGCCUGAGAGGGUGACCGGCCACAUUUGGACUGAGAUACGGCCCAGACUCCUACGGGAGGCAGCAGUGGGGAAUAUUGCACAAUGGGCGCAAGCCUGAUGCAGCAACGCCGCGUGCGGGAUGACGGCCUUCGGGUUGUAAACCGCUUUCAGCAGGGACGAAGCUUUUUGUGACGGUACCUGCAGAAGAAGCACCGGCUAACUACGUG